RNAcentral lists this ribosomal RNA (510 nucleotides) under uncultured bacterium. RNAcentral's name for it is "partial 16S ribosomal RNA". It matches the Rfam family "Bacterial small subunit ribosomal RNA", at positions 28 to 507 of the family's 1533-position model. The record is from RNAcentral.
GACGAACGCUGGCGGCGUGCUUAACACAUGCAAGUCGAACGAAGAGCGAUGGAAGCUUGCUUCUAUCAAUCUUAGUGGCGAACGGGUGAGUAACGCGUAAUCAACCUGCCCUUCAGAGGGGGACAACAGUUGGAAACGACUGCUAAUACCGCAUACGAUCUAAUCUCGGCAUCGAGGAUAGAUGAAAGGUGGCCUCUACAUGUAAGCUAUCACUGAAGGAGGGGAUUGCGCCUGAUUAGCUAGUUGGAGGGGUAACGGCCCACCAAGGCGAUGAUCAGUAGCCGGUCUGAGAGGAUGAACGGCCACAUUGGGACUGAGACACGGCCCAGACUCCUACGGGAGGCAGCAGUGGGGAAUCUUCCGCAAUGGACGAAAGUCUGACGGAGCAACGCCGCGUGAGCGAUGACGGCCUUCGGGUUGUAAAGCUCUGUUAAUCGGGACGAAAGGCCUUCUUGCGAAUAGUGAGAAGGAUUGACGGUACCGGAAUAGAAAGCCACGGCUAACUACGUG